Molecule: ribosomal RNA, 255 nt
Filed under: uncultured bacterium
Lineage: Bacteria
Description: partial 16S ribosomal RNA
Rfam family: Bacterial small subunit ribosomal RNA
Source: RNAcentral
UACGAAGGGGGCUAGCGUUGUUCGGAAUUACUGGGCGUAAAGCGCGUGUAGGCGGCCCGUUAAGUUGGGUGUGAAAGCCCGGGGCUCAACCCCCGGGGAUGCCGCCCAAGACUGGCGGGCUUGAGGACGGAAGAGGGGCGUGGAAUUCCUGGUGUAGCGGUGAAAUGCGUAGAGAUCAGGAGGAACACCCGUGGCGAAGGCGGCGCCCUGGUCCGUUACUGACGCUGAGAUGCGAAAGCGCGGGGAGCGAACGGG